GAACUGCCUGCACCUCCUUUGUUUCUGCGGUAACGUGCGGAGAGGAAAUUUAAGCCAUUGCUGCCAUCCGGGGGUGUGAGGCCUAACCUGAAGGACCUUCCCUCCAUGAUGGUCACGGUGGAAUCCAUCCUGAUAACACAGAUGCUCCUCCCCAUGCUGACUUGGCCAACGAAAGCCACUGCCCCGCCACGGGAGUGAGAGGAACUGGCCUGAACACCGCCUUCCUGCUUGCUGUAAGGAAAACCGUUGCUGUUGGCCCUGCUAGAGAAAGUCUACCUCCCCCUGCUGGUGGCCCUGCUGGAGAUAGUCUACCUCCCCCUGCUGGUGGCC
This is a long non-coding RNA of Eriocheir sinensis (Chinese mitten crab), 330 nucleotides long. RefSeq lists it as uncharacterized. The record is from RefSeq and is a predicted model, not a curated record. Lineage: Eukaryota; Metazoa; Arthropoda; Malacostraca; Decapoda; Varunidae. The transcript is spliced from 3 exons.